Molecule: ribosomal RNA, 460 nt
Filed under: uncultured bacterium
Lineage: Bacteria
Description: partial 16S ribosomal RNA
Rfam family: Bacterial small subunit ribosomal RNA
Source: RNAcentral
CCUACGGGUGGCAGCAGUGAGGAAUAUUGGUCAAUGGGCGCGAGCCUGAACCAGCCAAGUCGCGUGAAGGAUGACUGCCCUACGGGUUGUAAACUUCUUUUGUCAAGGAAUAAAGUGAGGCACGUGUGCCUGUUUGUAUGUACUUUAUGAAUAAGGCACGGCUAACUCCGUGCCAUCAGCCGCGGUAAUACGGGGGAUGCGGGCGUUAUUCGGAUUUAUUGGGGUUAAAGGGGGCGUAGAUGGGUUGUUAAGUCAGGUGUGAAAGUUUGCGGCUCAACCGUAAAAGUGCAAUUGAUACUGGCAGUCUUGAGUACAGUUGAGGUAGGCGGAAUGCGUGGUGUAGCGGUGAAAUGCUUAGAUAUCACGAAGAACUCCGAUUGCGAAGGCAGCUUACUAAACUGCCACUGACAUUGAUGCUCGAAAGUGUGGGUAUCAAACAGGAUUAGAUACCCCUGUAGUC